This is a long non-coding RNA of Oreochromis niloticus (Nile tilapia), 943 nucleotides long. RefSeq lists it as uncharacterized. The record is from RefSeq and is a predicted model, not a curated record. Lineage: Eukaryota; Metazoa; Chordata; Actinopteri; Cichliformes; Cichlidae. The transcript has 2 exons.
GAAGUAGUCGACGCUCUCUCUCUUCCAGCUGAAGCCGUAGUGCCGGAACAUAUGAAAGACGUAGGUCUCCACUUUGUGGGUCGUAGCCUGACACAGCAGAACAGACGCAGGAAUUAAAAUCAGUUGUAUUUGAUGGGUGUAUCCAACAGCAGGUGUGAGAACCUUUGCAAAUGCAGACGUUUUUGCAGUUUGCUGGUCUGCAGCAUUCAGUUGUGUGUUAACACAAUGCUACAAUCAUCUCAGGAGUGGAUGUUCCAGCAAAUUCAACCUAAGACCAUCCAAACGCUCAGAAAAGCUGCAAAAACCCAAGAAUUCUCAUUCUCAGACUCUACAGGCCUCAUGUUAAAUGUUAAAGUUCAUGAGAGUACAAAUAGAAAGAGACUGAGAAGUGUGACUUGUUUGGAAGGGUUACCAGGAGGAAGCCUCUUCUCUUUAAAUGAACAUUGCAGCAGGGCUCAGGUUCCUUUGGACAGAAAAAACCAAAGUGGGCAUGUUUGUCCAUAAAGGAGAAAACGAAACACAUCACACCAGCUGUCAGCACGGUGGUGGAGGGAUGAUGAUCUGGGCUCCGUGCAGUGACUCAGUAAACCAUGAAUUCCUCUGUAUACAAAUGUAUUCUAGAGUCAGAUGUGAGGCCAUCAGCCCCACAGCUAAAGCUCAGGCCAAACUCAGUCAUACACAUGACAAUGAUACCAAGAACAGUGCCAAAUCUCUAAAAGAAUGGCUGAAAAAGAAAAGAAUCAAAGUGGUGCAAUGCUCCAGUCAGUCCAGACCUCAGCCUGACUGAGAAGCUGUGGUGGGACCUUCAGAGAACAGUGCUGAAACUGAAGAGUUGAGACUGAGGAAAUUCCUUCAUAAUGAUGAAACUAAUAACAUCUACAGGGUGCAUGCACGAGGCAUUGACGAUGACAUGACCAUCAGCAGAGACAAACAAAUAAUGAGA